GAAUCCCGUCUUUGGCACGGAAACCCCAGGGCUUUUGUGAUGCGCUCUCGAAGAGUCGAGUUGUUUGGGAAUGCAGCUCAAAAUGGGUGGUGAACUCCAUCUAAAGCUAAAUAUUGGCGAGAGACCGAUAGCGAACAAGUACCGUGAGGGAAAGAUGAAAAGCACUUUGGAAAGAGAGUGAAACAGUACGUGAAAUUGUUGAAAGGGAAACGCUUGAAGUCAGUCGCGUCGACCGAGACUCAGCCUUGCCCUUGGCUUGGUGUACUUCUCGGCUGACGGGUCAGCAUCAAUUUUGCCCCUUGGAUAAUGGCGAGGGAAAUGUGACACCUUUACGGUGUGUUAUAGUCUCUUGUCGCAUGCAAGGGUUGGGAUUGAGGAACUCAGCACGCACCUUUGGGUGUCGGGGCUUUGCCCACGAUACGUGCUUAGGAUGUUGGCGUAAUGGCUUUAAACGACCCGUCUUGAAACACGGACCAAGGAGUCUAACAUGCCCGCGAGUGUUCGGGUGGAAAACCCGUGCGCGCAAUGAAAGUGAAAGUUGGGACCUCUGUCGCGGAGGGCACCGACGCCCGGACCAGAGCUUCUGCGACGGAUCUGCGGUGGAGCGUGUAUGUUAGGACCCGAAAGAUGGUGAACUAUGCCUGAAUAGGGUGAAGCCAGAGGAAACUCUGGUGGAGGCUCGUAGCGAUUCUGACGUGCAAAUCGAUCGUCAAAUUUGGGUAUAGGGGCGAAAGACUAAUCGAACCAUCUAGUAGCUGGUUCCUGCC
Molecule: ribosomal RNA, 767 nt
Filed under: uncultured Russula
Lineage: Eukaryota; Fungi; Basidiomycota; Agaricomycetes; Russulales; Russulaceae
Description: partial 28S ribosomal RNA
Rfam family: Eukaryotic large subunit ribosomal RNA
Source: RNAcentral